RNAcentral lists this ribosomal RNA (440 nucleotides) under uncultured bacterium. RNAcentral's name for it is "partial 16S ribosomal RNA". It matches the Rfam family "Bacterial small subunit ribosomal RNA", at positions 338 to 795 of the family's 1533-position model. The record is from RNAcentral.
CCUACGGGUGGUUGCAGUGGGGAAUAUUGCACAAUGGGGGAAACCCUGAUGCAGCGACGCCGCGUGAGUAAAGAAGUAAUUCGUUACGUAAAGCUCUAUCAGCAGGGAAGAAAAUGACGGUACCUGAGUAAGAAGCCCCGGCUAACUACGUGCCAGCAGCCGCAGUAAAACGGGAGGAGCAACCGUUAUCCGGAUUUAGUGGGUGUAAAGGGAGCGUAGACGGUGCGCCUAGUCUGGAGUGAAACGGCGCAGGUUAACUGCCGUACUGCUUUUGAAACUGGCGAACUCGAGUGAGAGAGAGGUAAGCGGAAUUCCUAGUGUAGCGGUGAAAUGCGUAGAUAUUGGGAAGAACACCGAUUGCGAAGGCAGCUUACUGGACCGUAACUGACGUUGAGGCUCGAAAGCGUGGGUAGCGAACAGGAUUAGAUACCCUAGUAGUC